Molecule: long non-coding RNA, 882 nt
Organism: Linepithema humile (Argentine ant)
Lineage: Eukaryota; Metazoa; Arthropoda; Insecta; Hymenoptera; Formicidae
Source: RefSeq, a predicted model, not a curated record
UUCUCCAUUCACCGGUCGCAAUAAAUUUUCUCGAAUGUGAAAUAUAGUGGGGAUGAUCGCUUGCAGGACUCAUUAGUUGUCAUUCACCAUCGACUAAACUUGUAAAGCAGAUUACACAAAUAUUUUCGAUGAAUUUUGACACAAUUUUUUAUUACAAAAAGAAUAAUACUAGUGUUGUCUGUGAAUCGAAAUAAAAAAGUCAGAAAUCUUUUCUGAAAAAACAGGAUCCAGGCGAAGCAGAUAAAGGAAAGAAAGUAAAAGCAAAAGAAAUAGCCAGUUGGACAUUAGAAUAUCGCAUUCCUGCAUUUUUCGGCAAUCUAUUUAUUGGAAACAUAUAAUUUUUAUCAUAUACGUCACGAUUUUUGCAAUCUGUGGGAAUUCCCGGUAUUGUUGUUGCGAACGUCGAGCAUGCACAUAUAUUUGUAUGCUGGAUGUGCUUUAUUAUAUGAGCAAAAUCGGUCACUUUUGGCUAAUGAGAAAAGUGCUAAGAAAAUGCUAUCACUUUUCUUUAAAUUGACCGCUAUUAACAGGAAAUCUACUUGGUUCGUAUUAUUUUAAAAAAAUUUAUUUAUUACCUACAUUACAUCAUCGAACUCGUCAAUGCGAUCGAUAAUUAGAAAUAUACGCGGAAAUUUGUCUUUGAUUAGGUCUGCGUGACGUCUAUAAAGCAUGUUUUAUAAUGAAGGAUUAUUUCUACAAACAAAAAGUUAAUGACGUAUGAUUUGUUGACGCAAGUCAUGGCGUUCUUGAGUUUUUAUCUUUUGUGUGUGUAACACAAUACAAUAAUACACAUUGUGUGUGCAACACAGUAUAAUAAUAUCACAAAGAUUUGCUUUUUUUUCUUAAAAUAAUAUAAAAUUUUUUAAAUCCUUAAAAACUAUA